UUUAAAGAGCCGCGGUAUUUUGACCGUGCAAAGGUAGCAUAAUCAUUAGUCUCUUAAUUAGGGGCUGGAAUGAAUGGCUUGACGAGAAAUCAGCUGUCUCUUAAUAAUUUUUAAAAUUUAACUUUUGAGUCAAAAGGCUUAAAUUUUUCUUUAGGACGAGAAGACCCUAUAGAGCUUGACAUUUUAUUUUUAUAUGGUUUUUUGUUGGUCUUCCUAUAUUUAAUGAUAAUGUUUUGUUGGGGUGACAUGAAGAAUGAGUAAACUCUUCAUUAUAAAAUCAUUGAUUUAUGUUUAUCAUGAUCCAUAAUUUAUGAUCAUAAGAUUAAGUUACCUUAGGGAUAACAGCGUAAUUGUUUUUGAGAGCUCAUAUUGACAAAGCAGAUUGCGACCUCGAUGUUGGAUUAAGAAAAAUUUUGGGUGCAGGAGCCCAAUAAUUAGGUCUGUUCGACCUUUAAAUUCUUAC
This 463-nucleotide ribosomal RNA is filed under the name Calliptamus wattenwylianus. Its description in RNAcentral is "partial 16S ribosomal RNA". It matches the Rfam family "Archaeal large subunit ribosomal RNA", at positions 1999 to 2668 of the family's 2987-position model. The record is from RNAcentral. Lineage: Eukaryota; Metazoa; Arthropoda; Insecta; Orthoptera; Acrididae.